AGCAGCCGCGGUAAUUCCAGCUCCAAUAGCGUAUAUUAAAGUUGUUGCAGUUAAAAAGCUCGUAGUUGAAUUUCGGGAUCAAAUUGUCGGUCGUGCCUCGGUACGCACUGGUAUUAUUGGUUCCUACCUUCUGAAGAACCGCGAUGUCAUUAAUUUGGUGUCGUGGGGAAUCAGGACUGUUACUUUGAAAAAAUUAGAGUGUUUAAAGCAGGCUUACGCUUGAAUACAUUAGCAUGGAAUAAUGAAAUAGGACGUUUGAUUCUAUUUUGUUGGUUUCUAGGAUUGACGUAAUGAUUAAUAGGGAUAGUUGGGGGCAUCAGUAUUCAAUUGUCAGAGGUGAAAUUCUUGGAUUUAUUGAAGACUAACUACUGCGAAAGCAUUUGCCAAGGAUGUUUUCAUUAAUCAAGAACGAAAGUUAGGGGAUCGAAGACGAUCAGAUACCGUCGUAGUCUUAACCAUAAACUAUGCCGACAAGGGAUCGGAUGAUGUUAAUUUUUUAAUGUACUCAUUCGGCGCCUUA
RNAcentral lists this ribosomal RNA (520 nucleotides) under uncultured Glomus. Its description in RNAcentral is "SSU rRNA". It matches the Rfam family "Eukaryotic small subunit ribosomal RNA", at positions 569 to 1090 of the family's 1831-position model. Lineage: Eukaryota; Fungi; Glomeromycota; Glomeromycetes; Glomerales; Glomeraceae. The record is from RNAcentral.